UACGAACUGUGCAAACGUUAUUCGGAAUCACUGGGCUUAAAGGGUGCGUAGGCGGCCAUUUAAGUAGGGUGUGAAAGCCCCCGGCUCAACCGGGGAAUUGCGUCCUAAACUGGAUGGCUGGAGUGGGACAGAGGUGUGUGGAACUUCCGGUGGAGCGGUGAAAUGUGUUGAUAUCGGAAGGAACGCCGGUGGCGAAAGCGACACACUGGGUCUCAACUGACGCUGAGGCACGAAAGCCAGGGGAGCGAACGGG
This 253-nucleotide ribosomal RNA is filed under the name uncultured bacterium. Its description in RNAcentral is "partial 16S ribosomal RNA". It matches the Rfam family "Bacterial small subunit ribosomal RNA", at positions 524 to 776 of the family's 1533-position model. The record is from RNAcentral.